This 491-nucleotide ribosomal RNA is filed under the name uncultured bacterium. RNAcentral's name for it is "bacterial SSU rRNA". It matches the Rfam family "Bacterial small subunit ribosomal RNA", at positions 29 to 508 of the family's 1533-position model. The record is from RNAcentral.
AGUGAACGCUGGCGGCAGGCCUAACACAUGCAAGUCGAACGGCAGCACAGCAGUAGCAAUACUGUGGGUGGCGAGUGGCGGACGGGUGAGGAAUACAUCGGAAUCUACCUUGUCGUGGGGGAUAACGUAGGGAAACUUACGCUAAUACCGCAUACGAACUAUGGUUGAAAGCGGCGGACCGCAAGGCGUCGCGCGAUUGGAUGAGCCGAUGUCCGAUUAGCUAGUUGGCGGGGUAAAGGCCCACCAAGGCGACGAUCGGUAGCUGGUCUGAGAGGAUGAUCAGCCACACUGGAACUGAGACACGGUCCAGACUCCUACGGGAGGCAGCAGUGGGGAAUAUUGGACAAUGGGGGCAACCCUGAUCCAGCCAUGCCGCGUGUGUGAAGAAGGCCUUCGGGUUGUAAAGCACUUUUGUUCGGGAAGAAAAGCCGCCGGUUAAUACCUGGUGGUCAUGACGGUACCGAAAGAAUAAGCACCGGCUAACUUCGUGC